RNAcentral lists this transfer RNA (96 nucleotides) under Trametes cinnabarina. Its description in RNAcentral is "Pycnoporus cinnabarinus tRNA". It matches the Rfam family "tRNA". Rfam says of the family: Transfer RNA (tRNA) molecules are approximately 80 nucleotides in length. Their secondary structure includes four short double-helical elements and three loops (D, anti-codon, and T loops). Further hydrogen bonds mediate the characteristic L-shaped molecular structure. tRNAs have two regions of fundamental functional importance: the anti-codon, which is responsible for specific mRNA codon recognition, and the 3' end, to which the tRNAs corresponding amino acid is attached (by aminoacyl-tRNA synthetases). tRNAs cope with the degeneracy of the genetic code in two manners: having more than one tRNA (with a specific anti-codon) for a particular amino acid; and 'wobble' base-pairing, i.e. permitting non-standard base-pairing at the 3rd anti-codon position. Lineage: Eukaryota; Fungi; Basidiomycota; Agaricomycetes; Polyporales; Polyporaceae. The record is from Rfam by way of RNAcentral.
GCCCGCCUAGCUCAAUCGGAUAGAGCGUGAGACUUUUACGGUCUAAGCAAAGGCUGGGAUAUCUCAAGGCUGCGAGUUCGAGCCUCGCGGUGGGCU